RNAcentral lists this unclassified non-coding RNA (727 nucleotides) under Hevea brasiliensis (rubber tree). Lineage: Eukaryota; Viridiplantae; Streptophyta; Magnoliopsida; Malpighiales; Euphorbiaceae. The record is from RNAcentral.
AACACAUGGCAACACUUGAAAACGGGCCCUAGUCUUGCUGAUGCCGCCUUGGGAAGAAUUGCUCAGGGAACGAAGGUUCUGGCAGAAGGUGGCUAUGAUAAGAUAUUUCGGCAAACAUUUGAGACUGUUCCUGAGGAGCAACUUCAGAAUUCAUUUGCAUGUUACCUGUCCACAUCAGCUGGUCCAGUUAUGGGAGUAUUAUAUGUUUCCACAGCUAAGCUUGCCUUCUGUAGUGAUAACCCUCUCUCCUAUAAAGCCGAAGAUAAGACUGAAUGGAGCUAUUAUAAGGUAGUUAUCCCAUUACACCAGCUCAAGGCAAUUAAUUCUUCAUCAAGCAGGACUAAUCCAUCUGAAAAAUAUGUCCAGACUAUAUCAGUCGAUAACCAUGAAUUUUGGUUUAUGGGGUUUCUAAAUUACAGUGGUGCAGUGAAUUGCCUGCAGGAGGCAUUACAAGCACGCAACUUACAUUCCGUGUGAGUCUGUUGUUGGUCUUAAACGCGUUUCCUGAGAGGGUGUGAUUCAUUAUACAGAAAGUUAGACUUCCCUUGAGUUCGUUCCAUCUGGUUGCCAUUAAAGAUACUGAAGAAAAAUAUGGUAAGAAAGAACGGUAGUGAAUUUGGAUUCUAUGGUAUCACUUGCUUCCGUCUCUAGUCUCUGUUGUAUUGUAUAAACUGUGACUGAUUAAAACAUAUUAUCGGUUUAACGAGCUUUAGAAUGUGAAGCACAU